This 485-nucleotide ribosomal RNA is filed under the name uncultured bacterium. RNAcentral's name for it is "partial 16S ribosomal RNA". It matches the Rfam family "Bacterial small subunit ribosomal RNA", at positions 30 to 507 of the family's 1533-position model. The record is from RNAcentral.
AUUGAACGCUGGCGGCAGGCUUAACACAUGCAAGUCGAGCGGGGAAAGGUAGCUUGCUACCUGACCUAGCGGCGGACGGGUGAGUAAUGCUUAGGAAUCUGCCUAUUAGUGGGGGACAACAUCUCGAAAGGGAUGCUAAUACCGCAUACGUCCUACGGGAGAAAGCAGGGGACCUUCGGGCCUUGCGCUAAUAGAUGAGCCUAAGUCGGAUUAGCUAGUUGGUGGGGUAAAGGCCUACCAAGGCGACGAUCUGUAGCGGGUCUGAGAGGAUGAUCCGCCAAACUGGGACUGGGACCCGGCCCAGACUUCUACGGGAGGCAGCAGUGGGGAAUAUUUGACCAUGGGGGGAACCCUGAUCCAGCCAUGCCGCGUGUGUGAAGAAGGCCUUUUGGUUGUAAAGCACUUUAAGCGAGGAGGAGGCUACCGAGAUUAAUACUCUUGGAUAGUGGACGUUACUCGCAGAAUAAGCACCGGCUAACUCUGUG